UACGUAGGGGGCAAGCGUUGUCCGGAUUUAUUGGGCGUAAAGCGCACGCAGGCGGUCUUGUAAGUUUCGAGUGACAGGUGGUGGCUUAACUGCCACAGGCCUUGGAAAACUGCAAGACUUGAGGACUUCAGAGGGAUGCGGAAUUCCAGGUGGAGCGGUGAAAUGCGUAGAGCUCGGGAAGAACAUCGGUGGCGAAAGCGCUCUGCUGGACUGCAACUGACACACAGGGACGAAAGCUAGGGGAGCGAAUGGG
This 253-nucleotide ribosomal RNA is filed under the name uncultured bacterium. Its description in RNAcentral is "partial 16S ribosomal RNA". It matches the Rfam family "Bacterial small subunit ribosomal RNA", at positions 524 to 776 of the family's 1533-position model. The record is from RNAcentral.